Molecule: ribosomal RNA, 860 nt
Filed under: uncultured bacterium
Lineage: Bacteria
Description: bacterial SSU rRNA
Rfam family: Bacterial small subunit ribosomal RNA
Source: RNAcentral
AACGAACGCUGGCGGCGUGCCUGAUACAUGCAAGUCGAGCGGACCGACGGGAGCUUGCUCCCUUAGGUCAGCGGCGGACGGGUGAGUAACACGUGGGUAACCUGUCUGUAAGACUGGGAUAACUCCGGGAAACCGAGGCUAAUACCGGAUGCUUGAUUGAACCGCAUGGUUCCAAUCAUAAAUGGUGGCUUUCAGCUACCACUUACAGAUGGACCCGCGGCGCAUAAGCUAGUUGGUGAGGUAACGGCUCACCAAGGCGACGAUGCGUAGCCGACCUGAGAGGGUGAUCGGCCACACUGGGACUGAGACACGGCCCAGACUCCUACGCGAGGCAGCAGUAGGGAAUCUUCCGCAGUGGACGAAAGUCUGACGGAGCAACGCCGCGUGAGUGAUGAAGGUUUUCGGAUCGUAAAACUCUGUUGUUAGAGAAGAACAAGUACCGUUCGAAUAGGGCGGCACCUUGACGGUACCUAACCAGAAAGCCACGGCUAACUACGUGCCGGCAGCCGCGGUAAUACGUAGGUGGCAAGCGUUGUCCGGAAUUAUUGGGCGUAGAGGGCUCGCAGGCGGUCUCUUAAGUCUGAUGUGAAAGCCGCCGGCUCAACCGGGGAGGGUCAUUGGAAACUGAGGAACUUGAGUGCAGAAGAGGAGAGUGGAAUUCCACGUGUAGCGGUGGAAUGCGUAGAGAUGUGGAGGAACACCAGUGGCGAAGGCGACUCUCUGGUCUGUAACUGACGCUGAGGAGCGAAAGCGUGCGGAGCGAACAUGAUUAGAUACCCUGGUAGUCCACGCCGUAAACGAUGAGUGCUAAGUGUUAGGGGGUAUCCGCCCCUUAGUGCUGCAGCUAACGCAUUAAGCAC